RNAcentral lists this long non-coding RNA (246 nucleotides) under Chinchilla lanigera (long-tailed chinchilla). RNAcentral describes it as "lncRNA (ENSCLAG00000024861.1)". The record is from RNAcentral. Lineage: Eukaryota; Metazoa; Chordata; Mammalia; Rodentia; Chinchillidae.
GCGCGCGUUGUCCCCUGCGGUGCUGGCGCGCGGGUGAAUGCGGCUCCACAGACCAGCGCGGGUCGGGCGGGAGGCCCGUGGACCCGGAGCCGCCGCAGCCGCAGCCUCAAGGUCAGCCGCCUGCGUGGGACCUGCUGAGGCCAGGGCCUGUGGUUCUUGGAGAUGUCUUUGUGCUCCAGAGGCUGCUCUGUUUAUCCUGCCCCUGGCUGUGGGUACCAUUCAAGGUAAGGCAUGUGCUUGCUCUCU